Molecule: ribosomal RNA, 292 nt
Filed under: Ice core clone 147-15
Lineage: Eukaryota
Description: partial 18S ribosomal RNA
Rfam family: Eukaryotic small subunit ribosomal RNA
Source: RNAcentral
AUAUUAAAGUUGUUGCAGUUAAAAAGCUCGUAGUUGGACCUUGGGCCUGGACGGGCGGUCCGCCUCACGGCGUGUACUGUCUUGCCGGGCCUUUCCUCUUGGUGAUCUGUUGUUUCGGCAGCAGGGAACCAGGACCUUUACUUUGAAAAAAUUAGAGUGUUCAAAGCAGGCUCGACGCCGGAAUAUAUUAGCAUGGAAUAAUAAAAUAGGACGUGCGGUUCUAUUUUGUUGGUUUUUGGAAUCGCCGUAAUGAUUAAUAGGGACAGUCGGGGGCAUUAGUACUCACAUGCUA